Molecule: ribosomal RNA, 418 nt
Filed under: alpha proteobacterium SCGC AAA487-I17
Lineage: Bacteria; Pseudomonadati; Pseudomonadota; Alphaproteobacteria
Description: bacterial SSU rRNA
Rfam family: Bacterial small subunit ribosomal RNA
Source: RNAcentral
UCCUAUGGGAUGCAGCAGUGGGGAAUCUUGCGCAAUGGGCGAAAGCCUGACGCAGCCAUGCCGCGUGGAUGAUGAAGGUCUUAGGAUUGUAAAAUCCUUUCACCGGGGACGAUAAUGACGGUACCCGGAGAAGAAGCCCCGGCUAACUUCGUGCCAGCAGCCGCGGUAAUACGAAGGGGGCUAGCGUUGCUCGGAAUUACUGGGCGUAAAGGGCGCGUAGGCGGACAGUUAAGUUGGGGGUGAAAGCCCGGGGCUCAACCUCGGAAAUGCCUUCAAUACUGGCUGUCUUGAGUACGGGAGAGGUGAGUGGAACUCCGAGUGUAGAGGUGAAAUUCGUAGAUAUUCGGAAGAACACCAGUGGCGAAGGCGACUCACUGGCCCGUUACUGACGCUGAGGCGCGAAAGCGUGGGGAGCAAA